CGGACGGGACGCCCGCAUCGGGAGCCGCACCAGUCACCCGCGGAACGUCCGCACGGCUCUGCGAACCCAGGGAUCGACGGUUAGGAACAUGGGAUUCUUCGCGACGUUCUGAAUUGGGCUGUCAAUCAAUAUGAAGGCCGGUCUUGAGUACGUCGGUGAAGAUUAUUAUCGAAGCUACGGACAAUGCUUGGAGAUGCGACGUUAUCAUUUUGCAAGUAAUUAAUUGCCAACU
Mycetomoellerius zeteki is the source of this 232-nucleotide long non-coding RNA. RefSeq lists it as uncharacterized. The record is from RefSeq and is a predicted model, not a curated record. The transcript has 3 exons. NCBI's taxonomy places the organism in Eukaryota, Metazoa, Arthropoda, Insecta, Hymenoptera, Formicidae.